Molecule: long non-coding RNA, 6109 nt
Organism: Dama dama (fallow deer)
Lineage: Eukaryota; Metazoa; Chordata; Mammalia; Artiodactyla; Cervidae
Exons: 4
Source: RefSeq, a predicted model, not a curated record
GGAUGAGUCACAGACUCUUAACCAGAUGGAAUGAGAAGACAGAAUGGACUGUUUUAAGAGAGAGAGAGAGAGAGCGGAGGUGGUCAGUGGAUAGCUGGUUGUGAUGAAGACCAAGAUGGGCUUUAGUGAGAUGCUUUGAGCCACAACCUGGAAGCGGGAGGUUAUGGGGUAGGCUUUAGUGAAUGAGGAAGUAUUAGCAUUUUUACUGUGCCUGGGCCUCCGCCCAGCUGUUACCUUCCUUCCCAUGUUAUAAUUGGGUGUAUAGAUGAUGACUUCCACUGCCCUUUGGAAUAGGUCCUCUGUGGGCAGGAGCCAUGCUCCUCAUGUAGCGUCCGUCCCAGGAGAGUCUGACACGGCCUGACCCAUGGUAACUGCAAAUCCAGACAUUUUCAUAUGUAACUCUUCCCCCUCCUGAUUUUCCAUGUUUCUGUUUUCCUUUAGUUUCAUGAAAGAAAUUUUGUGAAAGAAUCUAAUCUCAUCUCAGCUGAAAAAAAACCCAGGAUGUAAUCCCCAUUUUACAGGAUGGAGAGGCAUUCAGUGGUUCUCUGAUGGCCCAGGAGUUGGGUGAGAGUGAGAGUCCCCUCUCGGGAGCCCCGGAAGAAUGAGUUACUGGGGCAGAUGGUGUGGGGCCUCAGGAGGGAAAGAUUCAGGGCCUACAGCAGACAGUGGUAUAACCUCCCACCUUUCCCACUUCUAGGAGGGUCUCCAUGAGCUGAGUCCUUAGUCCACCCAUCCACACCCUACUACGUGCUGGGCUAGGAACACAUGGAUGAGCUGGACACAGACCCUGCCAGAAGGAGAUCACCGUCUGGUUAAGGGGAUAGAUUCACAGAGAAAGAACUGCAGGCUGGUGUCUACAAUGGAGGGUUUGGCCAUAGCAAAGGGAACUUGCUAGUGUAGGGAAAGAGGGUCAGGGAAGACUCCCGAGAACAUGGCUUCCUAGAGCCCAGGGUCUUGACAAGUGCCACGACAGGAGGAGGGAGCCAUGAAGCCUGGGAAGAUGGCGAGGAAAUGGUGAGUCACGCUGAUGCUGCGCCAUGGCUGGCUCAUGGGUGCGUUGAGGAGAGGGAGGCCAGUCCUGUCAGGGAGUCUGCACGUUAGCCUGCAAAAACAGGGGGGACUUUGGCACCUGAAGUCUUUAACCUGGAUGCUGGGUGAAGGGUGAGACCGGGAGCUAGUUCAAAGUAGAGAGGAGAGGGGCUCACAUUUGAAUAUGUGGAGUCUGAGAUGCCCACGAUAUUCCCCGUGCUCCUCGACUUGCCUAUUCUCUCUGCCCACGUUGUUCCCUGCCACGGCUGGCAACACCCUUCCCCUCAUCCAUCAGCUCAGCGUUUUCUCCAGGAAACUGCCUUGAUCUUGGCAGCUGAAAGCGAUUUUCCUGUCAGAGCUUCUGUAGCUCCACAUUUAACACCUCUUAGGCAGCACAUCUGCCCAGCUUUCCCACCGCUCCUGGUUUCCUCGGUAGGGGUAUCCCAUGGUCUUCACCUUGUGAAGCAGGAAGUGAUGAAACAAUAACUCAGGCAACGAGUGUCCCUGCACCCACAGAGGGACCACCCACAGCCCUUUCAGGGCUGACCUUAAGCAGGAAGAGACUUAUGCUCCAGCGGGCAUCCAACACUCCUCCCAUGCCUGGGAACCCAGAGGUAGGCCAGCUGGUGCUGCGAUUACACAGACCAGGAUGUUCUGGUUUCAGAGGUGGGGUUGGGAGCUGCAGCCUCUGGAGAAGCCAGGUGAUAAAACCUAAAUACUCAGGCUUCAUGUGAAACCAACACCUAAGCAGAUGAGGACUCAUCAGCCUCCCCGCCCACACCGCCUUCUCCCUGGGACCGAGGCCUGCCACCUUCCUGAGGGACGAAGAUUCCUGCUCUAUAUGGAGGACGCAGGCUCUAGGUCAUUCUGAGAACGUGACUUCAUGACUGUACGUGGGUUACACCCCUGAUGAGGCAUCCCUUGUUCCAAUCCCUCAGCAGGGGCUGCGAGGCACGUGAGGUAGGAGGGGCAGCUGCAGAUGCCCCCAAGGGAGGUGGGGGAGGGGCCGAGGAGGGGCCCUGGAAUCAGUCCCAGCUUCCCCAGGACUGUGACUUCUCUGGUCUGAAAGUGCUUGCACAGGGAGGGGCCAGUUCCAGCCAGACCUAUGGUCCGGCUGUCCUGAAUAGAGCUGGACAGGGCAUUGUGCAGGUGCUGGAGACAGCAGUGAGCAAAAGCAGUCCUGUCCCUGUUAAGCUGAAAGGCGGUUGGAGGACCAAGGGCUUAAAGCACAGGUGCAACAGUAGAUCUUUGAUGGCUCCAUCCCCUCUGCCCCCACUCCAGAUUCCAGGACUGACAGUUGCUCCAGACAGACAUCUUUUGGAGUAUCUACCCUGCUCACAAUGACCAACUUCACUCUGGGAAUGAACCCCAGUAACCAGGAUUCCAUUCUGUGACCCAGCACCACGGGUACAGUUGAUUGGAUAGAAGUGAACUCCAGACUCAAGCUGUGUGUGUGUGCUAGGUCGCUUCAGCUGUGUCCAGUUCUUUGUGACCCUAUGGACAUUUGCAACCCCAUGGACUGCAGCCCGCCAGUCUCCUCUGUCCAUGGGAUUCUUCAGGCACGAAUACUAGAGUGGGUUGCCAUGUUCUCCUCCAGCGGAUCUUCCCGGCCCAGGGAUCAAACACUAGUCUCUUGCGUCUCCUGCAUUGGCAGACGGGUUCUUUACCACUAGCACCACCUGGGAAACCAAACAGUUGCCUUUGGCAAUUUGAAGUCAGACUAGGGACUCCAUGUCAGCCUUAUGGCAUGUACUCAUGUGAUGCUAAGGGUUCCCUUCUGCCAGCUGAACUAGCAACAGGAGGCUGGUCUGCAGAGAGCCAAGAAUAAGAGAGGGGGGUGGUUCCAGCCAAGUCCCAGGUCUUAGUUCAAGUCCUUCUCAAGACCUGAUGGUAUCUCAGCUCUGAGAUUCCAUGGCACACUCCUACUGCUGCUGCUGCUGCUAAGUCAGUUCAGUCGUGUCCGACUCUGUGCGACCCCAUAGAUGGCAGCCCACCAGGCUCCCCCAUCCCUGGGAUUCUCUAGGCAAGAACACUGGAGUGGGUUGCCAUUUCCUUCUCCAAUGCAUGAAAGUGAAAAGUGAAAGUGAAGUCGCUCAGUCAUGACACAUCCCUAGGGCUAGAAACUAAACUCUCCUUUUUGCUUAAACUGGCUAGAGUUGGUUUCUGUUAUUUGUAAAUAAAGAAGUGUACCCAUAAGUUCUCUGUUCAGAACUAGAAUCUCAUGGUGCCAAUUUUACUACGUUUAAUACAUUAGGGCAUACAUUUUAAUACAUUAGCAAUACUAGUCUACACUUGCUGCCCCUGCCAAAUCCCACCAUGUGACAUAUACUAGAUGAGCAAUAAAUACAGAUUCUUUUAUGUGGCUGGUCAUCAUAGGUGAUCAGGAAUGCUAGCCCUUCCUGCUGCCUGGCACACAGCACAUUUCCUUCCUUGAGAAUCUGCUCCCCAGUUUUGCUCAGCUGUGGAGAGUCUGAUGGCAUCUCAGACAUGCCCUGAGAAUAAGCAGGCCCCAGAACCUCCAAGGCCUAGGAAAGCUCACCCCAACAGAGCUCAAGGAGAAUGAGCCCCAGAAUGCUUGGUCUUGACAUGCCUUCUCUCUCACCUCUCACUCCAGAUCCUGAACAGUGAUUGUUGGGGGUCCAAGCUGGACAUGCAGAUAUUCCCAGGCCCCCCGGUCCCCCUUCCACACUUGCUGGGACCUGCUGGUUGGUAAUGGCUUGUUAUGCUUUGUAAGAAGCAAUGGAGAGUCUGUGCCUCCUCUCUUUGGAUCUGAGUGGGUUCUAAGACUGCUUUGAUCAACAACAUGGUUCCUUGCUGAAUUAAAUCUACAAUACCUUGAAAAGUACAGUAGUACAGUAUAACACCUGGCACACAGAGGCUGGCACUGAGUCAAAAGGCAAGAAGAGUUACUGACUGGAGGAGGGAGAGGAGGUGGAGAUCAUAAAGCUGAAGGAUCAUCAGCAAUAGGAGACAGAGGGCAAGCUGCACUUUCACUCACACUGAUGUUGACUAACUGAUAAAAUGUUGUAUUUAAUAGCGAACCACUUUUUAUUCUGUGGGGUCUCUAUCUUUCAGUUCAGUUCAGUUCAGUCGCUCAGUCAUGUCCGACUCUUUGCUACCCCAUGGACUGCAGCACAACAGGCCUCCCUGUCCAUCAUCAACUCCCGGAGUUUACUAAAACUCAUGUCCAUUGAGUUGGUGAUGCCAUCCAACCAUCUAAUCCUCUGUUGUCCCCUUCUCCUCCUGCCUUCCAUCUUUCCCAGCAUCAGGGUCUUUUCAAAUGAGUCAGCUCUUCACAUCAGGUGGCCAAAGUAUUGGAGUUUCAGCUUCAGCAUCAGUCCUUCCAAUGAAUAUUCAGGACUGAUUUACUUUAGGAUGGACUGGUUGCAUCUCCUGGCAGUCCAAGGGACUCUCAAGAGUCUUCUCCAACACCACAGUUCAAAAGCAUCAAUUUUUCAGUGCUCAGCUUUCUUUAUAGUCCAACUCUCACAUCCAUACAUGACCACUGAAAAAACCAUAGCCUUGACUAGAUGGACCUUUGUUGGCCUCUGCUUUUUAAUACGCUAUCUAGGUAGGUCAUAGCUUUUCUUCCAAGAACCAAGUGUCUUUUAAUUUCUUGGCUACAGUCACCAUCUCCAGUGAUUCUGAAGCCCCCAAAAAUAAAGUCUGCCACUCUUCCCACUGUUUCCCCAUCUAUUUGCCAUGAAGUGAUGGGACCUGAUGCCACGAUCUUAGUUUUCUGAAUGUUGAGCUUUAAGCCAACUUUUUCACUCUCCUCUUUCACUUUCAUCAAGAGGCUCUUUAGUUCUUCUUCACUGUCUGCCAUAAGGGUGGUGUCAUCUGCAUAUCUGAGGUUAUUGAUAUUUCUCCCGGCAAUUUUGAUUCUAGCUUGUGCUUCAUCCAGCCCAGCCUUUCUCAUGAUGUACUCUGCAUAUAAGUUAAAUAAGCAGGGUGACAAUAUACAGCCUUGACAUACUCCUUUUCCUAUUUGCAACCAGUCUGUUGUUCCAUGUCCAGUUCUAUCUGUUGCUUACUGACCUGCAUACAGGUUUCUCAAGAGGCAGGUCAGGUGGUCUGGUAUUCCCAUCCCUUUCAGAAUUUUCCACAGUUUAUAGUGAUCCAUACAGUCAAAAGCUUUGGCAUAGUCAAUGAAGCAGAAAUAGCUGUUUUUCUGGAACUCUUGCUUUUUUGAUGAUCCAGCAGAUGUUGGCAAUUUGAUCUCUGGUUCCUCUGCCUUUUCUAGAACCAGUUUGAACACCUGGAAGUUCAUAGUUCAUGUAUUGUUGAAGCCUGGCUUGGAGAAUUUUGAGCAUUACUUUACUAGUGUGUGAGAUGAGUGCAAUUGGGUGGUAGUUUGAGCAUUCUUUGGGAUUGCCUUUCUUAGGGAUUAGAAUGAAAACUGACCUUUCCCAGUCCUGUGGCCACUGCUGAGUUUUCCAAAUUUGCUGGUAUAUUGAGUGCAGCACUUUCACAGCAUCAUCUUUUAGGAUUUGAAAUAGUUCAACUGGAAUUCCAUCACCUCCACUAUUGUAGAUUAAAAAUGUUUAUCUUUCUUCUGUAUUAUUUGUGUGAAAACUGUUACAAACCUAUUAUAGCACAGUACUAGAUAGUUGAUUGUGUUAGUUGGACACCUAGGCUAACUUUGUAGGACUUAAAACAAAUCGGACUUAUGAACCCGCUCUCAGAAUGGAACUUGUGUAUUUGUAGGGGACUUAUUAUAGAAACACUUGCCAGCCAUGUGAGCGAGCCAUCUUCCAGCCUCAGUCACCUUCCCUAGCUGAUACCACUUAGAGCAGAGAUAAGAUGUCAAGGGAAGUCCUUCUUGAACUUCUGACCCAUAAAGUGAUAAACAAAAUAAAGCUGUUGCUUUAAGCUGCAAAGCUUUGGUAUAGCUUUAGAUAUAAUAAUAAAUAACCAAAACAACUGAUGAUCCAGAAUUUUCUAAAUAAGGUGAGGGAAUUUCAUUCUCACAAAGGAAGGGACUAUUGAAAAGAGGAAAAAAAAAUCAGACUAGAAAACUAUUCUAGGCUGAAAACCAGUCACGACUCUCAAACACCUGCAAAUAUUUUAUAGUACUUGU